Molecule: long non-coding RNA, 268 nt
Filed under: Lathyrus oleraceus (garden pea)
Lineage: Eukaryota; Viridiplantae; Streptophyta; Magnoliopsida; Fabales; Fabaceae
Description: Pisum sativum (pea) long non-coding RNA (PSAT_LNC020340)
Source: RNAcentral
AACUAGUAAGACACACAAAUGCACAAGGGUACUUCUUCUCCCCCUAAAUCUGUGCACACAACAAACAGUCUCCAUGAACAUAACAGCUACUGUAACUCUAGCACCUGUACCAGCCAGAAUGUCUUUCUGACAUCUGCUUCAAGAACACCACAUGUGCACCAUAUCAGACAUCCUCUUUGACAUCUGUAAACAGAAUAGCAUUCUGUUUUAACACAUGUGCACUAAUAAUAGUUGUCCUUCUGUCCAGCCACAUACAUAUCACAACUUC